CUUGUAACCUCGGUUACUAAACCAAUAAACCAUGUGUAGGGUCCGGAAAAAAGAAAAGCUAAGUGAAAAACUCAAUAAAACCCAAAAGUCUGCUGACGUUUCCAGAGGUACCCGAUUUCCUUAGGAAUAAAAUUUUGGAACUAGAAGCCACCCCUACUCCUGCAAAGUCUCCCAGCUCCAAAACUCAGAAAACUUCUUGGAACUCGGUCACCCCCAAGGAGGUGAUGUCGAAAUUGUGUAACUACGACGCACCCCACCAUUUAUGGUUCAGUGUUGAAAUUUAUGUAUA
Long non-coding RNA from Aethina tumida (small hive beetle), 289 nucleotides. RefSeq lists it as uncharacterized. The transcript has 3 exons. Lineage: Eukaryota; Metazoa; Arthropoda; Insecta; Coleoptera; Nitidulidae. The record is from RefSeq and is a predicted model, not a curated record.